RNAcentral lists this ribosomal RNA (254 nucleotides) under uncultured prokaryote. RNAcentral's name for it is "partial 16S ribosomal RNA". It matches the Rfam family "Bacterial small subunit ribosomal RNA", at positions 524 to 776 of the family's 1533-position model. The record is from RNAcentral.
UACGUAGGAGGCGAGCGUUGUCCGGAAUUACUGGGCGUAAAGAGCGCGUAGGCGGCGUGCUACGACCGGUGUGAAAGCCCCCGGCUCAACUGGGGAGGGUCACGGUAACGGGUAUGCUUAUGAGUGCAGGAGAGGGACGUGGAACUCCGGGAGUAGCGGUGAAAUGCGUAGAGACCCGGAGGAACACCAGUGGCGAAGGCGGCGUCCUGGCCUGCGACUGACGCUGUGGCGCGAAAGCUAGGGGAGCGAACGGG